RNAcentral lists this small RNA (125 nucleotides) under Marmota monax (woodchuck). The record is from RNAcentral. Lineage: Eukaryota; Metazoa; Chordata; Mammalia; Rodentia; Sciuridae.
GCUGGGCACAGUGGCUCAUGCCUGUAAUUCCAGUAGCUUGGGAGGCUGAGACAAGAGAAUUGUGAGUUUAAAGCCAGCCUCAGCAACUGCAAGGCACUAAGCAACUCAGUGAGACCCUGUCUCUA